This 90-nucleotide transfer RNA is filed under the name Xylaria sp. FL1777. RNAcentral's name for it is "tRNA-Val". It matches the Rfam family "tRNA". Rfam says of the family: Transfer RNA (tRNA) molecules are approximately 80 nucleotides in length. Their secondary structure includes four short double-helical elements and three loops (D, anti-codon, and T loops). Further hydrogen bonds mediate the characteristic L-shaped molecular structure. tRNAs have two regions of fundamental functional importance: the anti-codon, which is responsible for specific mRNA codon recognition, and the 3' end, to which the tRNAs corresponding amino acid is attached (by aminoacyl-tRNA synthetases). tRNAs cope with the degeneracy of the genetic code in two manners: having more than one tRNA (with a specific anti-codon) for a particular amino acid; and 'wobble' base-pairing, i.e. permitting non-standard base-pairing at the 3rd anti-codon position. The record is from RNAcentral. Lineage: Eukaryota; Fungi; Ascomycota; Sordariomycetes; Xylariales; Xylariaceae.
AGUCGUAUGGUCUAAUGGUUAUGAUUUCUCGUUCACAAGUAUGUGUACAUUGUCCCGAGACGGUUCCGUGUUCGAUCCACGGUACGACUA